This 72-nucleotide transfer RNA is filed under the name Ipomoea nil (Japanese morning glory). It matches the Rfam family "tRNA". Rfam says of the family: Transfer RNA (tRNA) molecules are approximately 80 nucleotides in length. Lineage: Eukaryota; Viridiplantae; Streptophyta; Magnoliopsida; Solanales; Convolvulaceae. The record is from Rfam by way of RNAcentral.
GCGUUUGUAGUCCAACGGUUAGGAUAAUUGUCUUUCAAGUAAUUGACAUGGGUUCAACUUUCAGCAAACGUA